UGGCUUCCAUUAGCAAUAUGUUUCCUUUCCCAAAUAUGCAAAUAGUGGCUUUGUUUGCUCAAUUUUGUGAGUGCUUUGGAAUUUAAAUGAUUGUAUAACUCAAGAAGAUUACUUUUCUAUGUUGCUCAAGCUGUGCCUGCCAACUUGUAACUUAAUAAAUACAGGAAAUCCUCAGAGAAGGUGAUAUUUUCAGGAAAAAGACAAAUGCCCUCAUAGGAGUGGGGCCUGUGUACAGCAGCUACCUCUCCCAGGUCCUCUCACUUGCCUGCCCCGCGUCCUGGUUGCAUGGCCGCACCUGUGUGUGUGCAGAGGUCUGUGUCCCAUCCUCUGCACCUCCUUUCCGGGGGCCUGGGGAGCCCCACGUGUUGCCAAGAUCUUGGUGCAAUAAAAUACUCCGGUUUUGUGA
This 406-nucleotide long non-coding RNA is filed under the name Homo sapiens (human). Its description in RNAcentral is "non-protein coding lnc-CYTH1-1:3". Lineage: Eukaryota; Metazoa; Chordata; Mammalia; Primates; Hominidae. The record is from RNAcentral.